This 589-nucleotide ribosomal RNA is filed under the name Microbotryum cordae. RNAcentral describes it as "eukaryotic LSU rRNA". It matches the Rfam family "Eukaryotic large subunit ribosomal RNA", at positions 62 to 648 of the family's 3401-position model. The record is from RNAcentral. Lineage: Eukaryota; Fungi; Basidiomycota; Microbotryomycetes; Microbotryales; Microbotryaceae.
AAACUAACAAGGAUUCCCCUAGUAACGGCGAGUGAAGCGGGAAAAGCUCAAAUUUGUAAUCUGGCGCCUUCGGCGUCCGAGUUGUAAUCUCGAGAAGUAUUUUCCGCGCUGGACCGCACAUAAGUCUGUUGGAAUACAGCGUCAUAGUGGUGAGAACCCCGUAUAUGGUGCGGAUGCCCAGUGCUUUGUGAUAUACUUUCGAAGAGUCGAGUUGUUUGGGAAUGCAGCUCAAAUUGGGUGGUAAAUUCCAUCUAAAGCUAAAUAUUGGCGAGAGACCGAUAGCGAACAAGUACCGUGAGGGAAAGAUGAAAAGCACUUUGGAAAGAGAGUUAACAGUACGUGAAAUUGUUGGAAGGGAAACGCUUGAAGUCAGACUUGCAUUUUGGAGUUCAGCCGCAAGGUGUAUUCUUCAAUUCGCAGGCCAGCAUCAGUUUUCGGGGGUGGAAAAUCGCGGUUUGAAGGUAGCAGUCUAGGCUGUGUUAUAGCUUUCCGCUGGAUUCACUUUUGGGGACUGAGGAACGCAGUACGCUUUUUGCAAGAUUCUAGAGUCUUUCGUACUUAGGAUGCUGGUGGAAUGGCUUUAAACGAC